This 497-nucleotide ribosomal RNA is filed under the name uncultured bacterium. RNAcentral's name for it is "partial 16S ribosomal RNA". It matches the Rfam family "Bacterial small subunit ribosomal RNA", at positions 28 to 507 of the family's 1533-position model. The record is from RNAcentral.
GAUGAACGCUGGCGGCGUGCCUAAUACAUGCAAGUCGAGCGAACAGAUAAGGAGCUUGCUCCUUUGACGUUAGCGGCGGACGGGUGAGUAACACGUGGGUAACCUACCUAUAAGACUGGAAUAACUCCGGGAAACCGGGGCUAAUGCCGGAUAACAUUUAGAACCGCAUGGUUCUAAAGUGAAAGAUGGUUUUGCUAUCACUUAUAGAUGGACCCGCGCCGUAUUAGCUAGUUGGUAAGGUAACGGCUUACCAAGGCAACGAUACGUAGCCGACCUGAGAGGGUGAUCGGCCACACUGGAACUGAGACACGGUCCAGACUCCUACGGGAGGCAGCAGUAGGGAAUCUUCCGCAAUGGGCGAAAGCCUGACGGAGCAACGCCGCGUGAGUGAUGAAGGUCUUCGGAUCGUAAAAUUCUGUUAUUAGGGAAGAACAAAUGUGUAAGUAACUGUGCACGUCUUGACGGUACCUAAUCAGAAAGCCACGGCUAACUACGUG